CUGUGCAGGCCUGACUAGCUUGCGGGGUGCUAAAGAGGGCCUUGAAAGGGGUCUCUCUUGCAUAUCCUACAAGCAAGUAGGGAGAUCUGAAACAAUGGUGUCCUUACUAAGGGUCAUGCACCGGUCAGGGUAUGCGUGCUUCUUGCCUAGAAAUACACCUUGAGAUUAGAUCUGGUAUUUGCCAUAAACGUCAUGUUCCUCAGAUGUUUAUGAGCCAUUGACGUGAGAGCAGGGAACAAAGAAAUACCAAGGCCACCUGUAUUGUUUUUGAAAAAGCUUGUUUGUUACAUUCCUUCACGUAGACCUCAGCUAAAAGGAUAUAAAUAAGAUUGUGACCAGAAUAAACUUGCUAGUGAGCAGCAUCCCUGCUCUUAGCCCCCUCGAUCCCCGCUUUUCUCUGUCUUUAUUUCCCAGCGGUCUUCUACUUUCAGGUUACCUUUGUUCUCGUCGGAGCCGGCCUCCAACAAGUGGCGCCCGAACAGGGACCUGAAAACACUGAAGGCUGCCCGAACCACAGGAAAGACGCUGAUAGCCCUCGCUGGUUACCGGAGCGGUGUGUCCGCCAUGCCCAAAAGUCGGGUGACUCGACUACGCAGGAAAAUGAUGAGGCUGAGGAUAACGCCUCGGCGCAAGAAUGAGUCUGAUCGGAAGACCCUCACACUACACUCCCUGGCACAUCUCUGCUCCAUAUUCUGGAUCAUCUUUUUUCCUUUUGUGCCGGUGUCGGGAGACAACUAUUGGGCUUAUGUCCCUAACCCACCUUUGCUGCACCCAGUCACCUGGGAGGAUGAUCGUGUUCCAAUAUAUACCAACAACACUUUAUUCAAAAUCUUAAAAUGCAGUUCCCGACUUUGCAACAGUUAAGCACUCAUUUGAUCUACUUAGGAAUAUUGGCUCUUGGUGUAAUCCUUGUAUCUCUUGCUCUCAUCACUGGCUGUAAAAUUGUCUUGACCCAUUUCACAAAAUUAUUUGUUACUGUUAAAAAAUUACAAUUAUACCAAGAUAAGGACAAAGAUUAUAUGCAUUUAUAAAAUAAAAAAGGGGGAAUUGUGGGGACCUGUGCAGGCCUGACUAGCUUGCGGGGUGCUAAAGAGGGCCUUGAAAGGGGUCUCUCUUGCAUAUCCUACAAGCAAGUAGGGAGAUCUGAAACAAUGGUGUCCUUACUAAGGGUCAUGCACCGGUCAGGGUAUGCGUGCUUCUUGCCUAGAAAUACACCUUGAGAUUAGAUCUGGUAUUUGCCAUAAACGUCAUGUUCCUCAGAUGUUUAUGAGCCAUUGACGUGAGAGCAGGGAACAAAGAAAUACCAAGGCCACCUGUAUUGUUUUUGAAAAAGCUUGUUUGUUACAUUCCUUCACGUAGACCUCAGCUAAAAGGAUAUAAAUAAGAUUGUGACCAGAAUAAACUUGCUAGUGAGCAGCAUCCCUGCUCUUAGCCCCCUCGA
This is a long non-coding RNA of Cynocephalus volans (Philippine flying lemur), 1441 nucleotides long. RefSeq lists it as uncharacterized. Lineage: Eukaryota; Metazoa; Chordata; Mammalia; Dermoptera; Cynocephalidae. The record is from RefSeq and is a predicted model, not a curated record. The transcript has 2 exons.